This is a long non-coding RNA of Carassius auratus (goldfish), 546 nucleotides long. RefSeq lists it as uncharacterized. NCBI's taxonomy places the organism in Eukaryota, Metazoa, Chordata, Actinopteri, Cypriniformes, Cyprinidae. The transcript has 3 exons. The record is from RefSeq and is a predicted model, not a curated record.
UUGACUAAAAGACAGAACAGUUUCAUUUUAGACUUGCUCCAUUAUCUCAUACGGUUGAAAAAAUGAUCUGCAUACUUAUUUUCUUCUGUUUAUGGCAUCUGGUUGGUUCAGUAACAGACAGAAUGAAGAUGUCCGUAAUGGAGGGAGAUGCUGUUACUCUUCACACUGAUGUUACUGAAAUACCCAGACAAACUAUAAAUUACAUACAGUGGAGGUUUGGACCUGACAAAAAAACAUUUAUAGUCAUUCAGUUUAAUAAGGGGGCACCUGUUAUUAAUUAUUUUAAUGCAGAGAUAUUCAGAAACAGACUACAGAUCGACAAUCAGACUGGAUCUCUGACCAUCAGGAAUAUCAGAACAACAGACUCUGGACUUUAUCAAAUGAUAAAAUACAAACCUUUCUACUUCAAUGUUAUGGUCUAUGCUCGUCUGCCCAUUCCUGACAUUACUUGGGACUCAGGAUCAUCAGUGUCUAAUUGUUCACUGCUGUGUUCAGUGGUGAAUGUGAGUGCUGUGACUCUCUCCUGGUACAAAGGAAACAGUUUAU